GACGAACGCUGGCGGCGUGCCUAAUACAUGCAAGUAGAACGCUGAAGAGAGGAGCUUGCUCUUCUUGGAUGAGUUGCGAACGGGUGAGUAACGCGUAGGUAACCUGCCUUGUAGCGGGGGAUAACUAUUGGAAACGAUAGCUAAUACCGCAUAACAAUGGAUGACACAUGUCAUUUAUUUGAAAGGGGCAAUUGCUCCACUACAAGAUGGACCGGCGUUGUAUUAGCUAGUAGGUGAGGUAAUGGCUCACCUAGGCGACGAUACAUAGCCGACCUGAGAGGGUGAUCGGCCACACUGGGACUGAGACACGGCCCAGACUCCUACGGGAGGCAGCAGUAGGGAAUCUUCGGCAAUGGGGGCAACCCUGACCGAGCAACGCCGCGUGAGUGAAGAAGGUUGUCGGAUCGCAAAGCUCUGUUGUAAGUCAAGAACGGGUGUGAGAGUGGAAAGUUCACACUGUGACGGUAGCUUACCAGAAAGGGACGGCUAACUACGUG
Molecule: ribosomal RNA, 497 nt
Filed under: uncultured bacterium
Lineage: Bacteria
Description: partial 16S ribosomal RNA
Rfam family: Bacterial small subunit ribosomal RNA
Source: RNAcentral